GCGUGGGUGAAGAAGGUCUUCGGAUUGUAAAGCCCUUUCGGCGGGGACGAUGGUGACGGUACCCGCAGAAGAAGCCCCGGCCAACUUCGUGCCAGCAGCCGCGGUAAUACGAAGGGGGCUAGCGUUGCUCGGAAUCACUGGGCGUAAAGGGCGCGUAGGCGGCGGCGCUAGUCGGGCGUGAAAUCCCCGGGCUCAACCCGGGGGCUGCGCCCGAUACGGCGCCGCUCGAGGCGGGGAGAGGGCCGCGGAAUUCCCAGUGUAGAGGUGAAAUUCGU
Molecule: ribosomal RNA, 275 nt
Filed under: uncultured bacterium
Lineage: Bacteria
Description: partial 16S ribosomal RNA
Rfam family: Bacterial small subunit ribosomal RNA
Source: RNAcentral